This is a long non-coding RNA of Triticum aestivum (bread wheat), 430 nucleotides long. RefSeq lists it as uncharacterized. Lineage: Eukaryota; Viridiplantae; Streptophyta; Magnoliopsida; Poales; Poaceae. The record is from RefSeq and is a predicted model, not a curated record. The transcript has 2 exons.
GCCAUCUUCGUUGGCCGCCGGCCGCCGGCCACCAAUGUCUACGUCGCUCAGUGUUGAAGUCGGGCGGUCGACCGCUACACGGCAAAGAUGAGAUGCCGCAGCGGCGGGUCAGCGGCGACAGAGGCUUGAUGAAACAUACGAGCCAAGUCGCGGUGGCCGGCAACCUGUGGUCUUCACAUCUAUCAAGUGCGUGACGUGCAACAUGUGCGUCAGCGGCGGCAAGGCGUCGACGAUUAUUUCAUCCCGGAUGGUGAAACAGUGCAGUUCUCCAUUUCCAUGGUUCACGACAACUGAUGAAUACAAACAUUGGUCCUGUAAUACUCUAGUUAUUAGUUUAGCCAUGAGACCAGAGAGUCCACUCUCUAAGGUAUUUUUUAUAUCAUUCAACGUCCGAGGUAUAUCAACCCUGCUACACAUCAGUUUGGUACUA